GACAGAGGAGCCAAGCGUUGUCCGGAUUGACUGGGCGUAAAGCGCACGCAGGCGGUUGCGCGCGGGGGGGGUGAAAGCUGGUGGCUUAACUGCCAGAUGCCAUCCCAUACGGCGCGACUCGAGCCCGUGAGAGGUCCACGGAAUUGCCGGUGUAGUGGUGAAAUGCGUAGAGAUCGGCAGGAACACCCAGGGGGAAACCAGUGGACUGGCACGGUGCUGACGCUCAGGUGCGAAAGCGUGGGGAGCGAACCGG
RNAcentral lists this ribosomal RNA (253 nucleotides) under uncultured bacterium. RNAcentral describes it as "partial 16S ribosomal RNA". It matches the Rfam family "Bacterial small subunit ribosomal RNA", at positions 524 to 776 of the family's 1533-position model. The record is from RNAcentral.